CCGUACGGAAGGCAACCUUGGUGAACUCUAAAAAAGGAACAAAAACGGAUCUUUUACAUCAAAAUCCACAGCAAUCGAGAUCAGAAAAGUUUGUGUACUGGAAAUCCGAAAGAGAGGAAGUUGAGAUAAUAACCUUUGCGAUCGGGCUUGUGACAGCGCUUGACGAGGCGUACGCUGUCCUUGGCGAAAUCUCUCAGUGGAUCGAAGACGGUGUCGAUGGCGUCCAUUUUGAUCGUUUUCGGUUUCGUCAAAUUCAAUUGGGAUCUCAAGAUACGGUGAUGGGAUUUAGGUAUUUAACAGAUUAAUGGACGGCAAGGGGUUGACAAUUUUUAACUCAAAGCGUUGUUUGGCUCA
RNAcentral lists this unclassified non-coding RNA (354 nucleotides) under Hevea brasiliensis (rubber tree). The record is from RNAcentral. Lineage: Eukaryota; Viridiplantae; Streptophyta; Magnoliopsida; Malpighiales; Euphorbiaceae.